UUCCUGCCAAAUACAUGCAAUAGCAAUAAUAGCUGACAUUUAUGCAUUGCCUUAAGACGGUGUAGAAUCAUUACUUUAUAACAACCCUGCACAUCAAAUAGAAGUAUCCUUUCCUCCACAUUAAAGAUGUGAAAACUAAUGCUGAGAGAAGUGACGUCAUGCGUAAAUCACCAUAUCAGAACCACAAUGCACUUCCGGGUCUCUGAAGUUAGCCCUUCUAUCACUUCCUCAAAUCUCCUAAUGGAGUCUCACCUAAUAGGAUCUUCAUGGUUAAGCACCAAACGUAGACGGUCGCUAGGCUGAGGGGACUAGAGAUUUGUCCAAGGAGGCCGGGGCAGGACAAUGACAGAACUCCAUGCCUACAGUAUAAAAAUAACAGAAUUUAAUCAGGAAACUGAGGCAUGCAGGGUGCAGUGGCCUGGCGAGUCAGUAUCUGAGGCCAGAUUUCAGACCUUCACUCAAUCUACCGUGUCCUCUAGCUGCCCCAAGAUUGUUCGUGAUAGUUCUGAACAGAACACGGGUUCAUUGUCUGAAUGUGAGCAUGACUUAAAAUGUACUGAGUGGGAUAAGGGCAGCAGUUCUUCUAGACCAGGCCUCUCCUCACCUGCUGGGUGCCGAUUACUCUUUACUUGGAUGGCAGCAAGGGCAAAGGAUGGUGUGACCCUCCCUGAGGGAAACCCAGGCUCCGAGGACUUCCCCAGCAUAUUCAACGGUUUUCCACAAUGGCCCCCAACUGAGAGUGUCAAAUAAGGAGACUUGGGCCUUUGCUAUAGCUUCCGUCUACAGGAAGGAACAAGAAGAUAAAAAAAAUUCAGAGAAUGAGCAGGAUUUAAACCGGGAGCAGGAAAGAGAAGUUAUAAUGAAUGUCCUGGUAGGUUCAAUUGCAGUUGAGGGCAAUAAUGCAAAAACAUUACUAUAUUCAUCGUAAGAGAUGGCAAAUAUUUUUAAAGUUUUGUUUGUGAUAAAUACCUGUAGAAUGGAAAAUCUUUAGUCAAAUUUGAGCUCUUUAAGGAAAAAGACUCCUUCAUUUUUGUCCAGUUCCCAACCCUGGAAUAAAUAAUAUGAACUUACUAAAUAUCUAUUGAAU
Molecule: long non-coding RNA, 1087 nt
Filed under: Monodelphis domestica (gray short-tailed opossum)
Lineage: Eukaryota; Metazoa; Chordata; Mammalia; Didelphimorphia; Didelphidae
Description: lncRNA (ENSMODG00000038849.1)
Source: RNAcentral